This 493-nucleotide ribosomal RNA is filed under the name uncultured bacterium. Its description in RNAcentral is "bacterial SSU rRNA". It matches the Rfam family "Bacterial small subunit ribosomal RNA", at positions 8 to 526 of the family's 1533-position model. The record is from RNAcentral.
AGAGUUUGAUCAUGGCUCAGGAUGAACGUUGGCGGCGUGCCUAACACAUGCAAGUCGAACGGAAAUAGCAAUAUUUGAGUGGCGCACGGGUGAGUAACACGUAGCUAAUCUACCUCAAAGCGCGGGAUAACGUGUCGAAAGACAGGCUAAUACCGCAUAAGCUCACAAAAAGUAGAGGAUUGUGAGAAAAGGCGCAAGUCACUUUGAGAUGAGGCUGCGGCCCAUCAGCUAGUUGGCGUGGUAAAAGCACACCAAGGCGACGACGGGUAGGGGACCUGAGAGGGUGACCCCCCACACUGGGACUGAGACACGGCCCAGACUCCUACGGGAGGCAGCAGUGAGGAAUAUUGCACAAUGGGCGCAAGCCUGAUGCAGCGACGCCGCGUGGGUGAAGAAGGUUUUCGGAUCGUAAAACCCUUUUCUGUGUGACGAGCAAGGACGGUAGCACAGGAAUAAGUCUCGGCUAACUACGUGCCAGCAGCCGCGGUAAUAC